RNAcentral lists this ribosomal RNA (440 nucleotides) under uncultured Sphingobacteriales bacterium. RNAcentral describes it as "bacterial SSU rRNA". It matches the Rfam family "Bacterial small subunit ribosomal RNA", at positions 943 to 1382 of the family's 1533-position model. The record is from RNAcentral. Lineage: Bacteria; Pseudomonadati; Bacteroidota; Sphingobacteriia; Sphingobacteriales.
GGUUUAAUUCGAUGAUACGCGAGGUAACCUUACCUGGGCUUAAAUGUAGAGUGCAUUUUUUAGAGAUAGAAAUUCCCUUCGGGGCUUUCUGCAAGGUGCUGCAUGGUUGUCGUCAGCUCGUGCCGUGAGGUGUCGGGUUAAGUCCCAUAACGAGCGCAACCCUUAUCGUUAGUUGCCAGCUGGUAAAGCAGGGGACUCUAGCGAAACUGCCACCGUAAGGUGAGAGGAAGGUGGGGAUGACGUCAAAUCAGCACGGCCCUUAUGUCCAGGGCUACACACGUGUUACAAUGGCCGGCACAGAGGGCAGCUACCUGGUGACAGGAUGCUAAUCUCGAAAACCGGUCUCAGUUCGGAUCGAAGUCUGCAACUCGACUUCGUGAAGCUGGAUUCGCUAGUAAUCGCGCAUCAGCCAUGGCGCGGUGAAUACGUUCCCGGGCCUU